This 414-nucleotide ribosomal RNA is filed under the name Lactobacillus sp. DumLac46. RNAcentral's name for it is "bacterial SSU rRNA". It matches the Rfam family "Bacterial small subunit ribosomal RNA", at positions 51 to 441 of the family's 1533-position model. Lineage: Bacteria; Bacillati; Bacillota; Bacilli; Lactobacillales; Lactobacillaceae. The record is from RNAcentral.
AUACAUGCAAGUCGAACGCUUUUUUCAAUCUCGUAGCUUGCUACACCGAUUGAAAAUUGAGUGGCGAACGGGUGAGUAACACGUGGGUAACCUGCCCAAAAGAGGGGGAUAACACUUGGAAACAGGUGCUAAUACCGCAUAACCAUGAUGACCGCAUGGUCAUUAUGUAAAAGAUGGUUUCGGCUAUCACUUUUGGAUGGACCCGCGGCGUAUUAACUUGUUGGUGGGGUAACGGCCUACCAAGGUAAUGAUACGUAGCCGAACUGAGAGGUUGAUCGGCCACAUUGGGACUGAGACACGGCCCAAAACUCCUACGGGAGGCAGCAGUAGGGAAUCUUCCACAAUGGGCGCAAGCCUGAUGGAGCAACGCCGCGUGAGUGAAGAAGGUCUUCGGAUCGUAAAACUCUGUUGUUA